UACGGAGGGGACUAGCGUUGUUCGGAAUUACUGGGCGUAAAGCGCACGUAGGCGGAUUUGUAAGUCAGGGGUGAAAUCCCGGGGCUCAACCUCGGAACUGCCUUUGAUACUGCAAAUCUCGAGUCCGGAAGAGGUGAGUGGAAUUCCUAGUGUAGAGGUGAAAUUCGUAGAUAUUAGGAGGAACACCGGUGGCGAAGGCGGGUCUCUGGGCCGAUACUGACGCAGAGGAGCGAAAGCGUGGGGAGCGAACAGG
RNAcentral lists this ribosomal RNA (253 nucleotides) under uncultured bacterium. RNAcentral describes it as "partial 16S ribosomal RNA". It matches the Rfam family "Bacterial small subunit ribosomal RNA", at positions 524 to 776 of the family's 1533-position model. The record is from RNAcentral.